This 69-nucleotide transfer RNA is filed under the name Euproctis similis. Its description in RNAcentral is "tRNA-Pro". Lineage: Eukaryota; Metazoa; Arthropoda; Insecta; Lepidoptera; Erebidae. The record is from RNAcentral.
CAAAAAAUAGUUUAAUAAAAAUAAUAAUUUUGGAGAUUAUUGAUAAAGAGAGAUAUAUCUUUUUUUUUG